RNAcentral lists this long non-coding RNA (537 nucleotides) under Mytilus galloprovincialis (Mediterranean mussel). The record is from RNAcentral. Lineage: Eukaryota; Metazoa; Mollusca; Bivalvia; Mytilida; Mytilidae.
GUAGUUUAGAAAUCGGUCAAUGGCGGACGAAUGCAAGAAAAUUUACAAAAAUAAACGAUGUUUGACAAGUUAUUUGGAAAGGAACAUUACGUUUUUAAUGCAAUAAAUGGAUUAAACAUUUACUGGAGACAACUUUUAUCACGUUUAAAUGAAGUAACAAACUUAUUUUGCCGUCGAAAUUUAGGUUGAUGUACGUUUUCGAGUAACAAGCACCAGAACUUGCAGAAAUGCACGAAGUGAUAAAAAGUUGUAUUUUUAUCAAAUAACCUGCUACACACUGCGAAGACAAUGCUUCAGCCUCUUUUCUAAAGAUAAUGAAUCGUUUAUGUCUGAAUUUCUUUAAUUAUCAAUAUAAAAUUGAUGUUUCAUCAACUUGGUAAAAAUUGAAAAUAUCCGAUGACGGAAGCGACUGAAAGCGACUAUCGUCAUGGACAGGGCGACUUGUUUUCGCUUUUGGGGGUAGGGGAAAGCGAAGUGACGGUCGGGAAGGCGACUUCUUCGCCCAAGUCGCCUGGUAGCGUGAGCCCUGCCCUGAGG